RNAcentral lists this ribosomal RNA (430 nucleotides) under uncultured Actinomycetes bacterium. Its description in RNAcentral is "bacterial SSU rRNA". It matches the Rfam family "Bacterial small subunit ribosomal RNA", at positions 917 to 1348 of the family's 1533-position model. Lineage: Bacteria; Bacillati; Actinomycetota; Actinomycetes. The record is from RNAcentral.
GGGCCCGCACAAGCGGCGGAGCAUGCGGAUUAAUUCGAUGCAACGCGAAGAACCUUACCUGGGUUUGACAUACACCCUGCCGCUCCAGAGAUGGGCGUUCCCUUGUGGCUGGUGUGCAGGUGGUGCAUGGCUGUCGUCAGCUCGUGUCGUGAGAUGUUGGGUUAAGUCCCGCAACGAGCGCAACCCUUGUCCUAUGUUGCCAGCGGGUGAUGCCGGGGACUCAUGGGAGACUGCCGGGGUCAACUCGGAGGAAGGUGGGGAUGACGUCAAGUCAUCAUGCCCCUUAUGUCCAGGGCUUCACACAUGCUACAAUGGCCGGUACAGAGGGCUGCGAAGCCGUGAGGUGGAGCGAAUCUCGUAAAGCCGGUCUCAGUUCGGAUCGGGGUCUGCAACUCGACCCCGUGAAGUCGGAGUCGCUAGUAAUCGCAGA